Molecule: transfer RNA, 84 nt
Filed under: Amaricoccus sp.
Lineage: Bacteria; Pseudomonadati; Pseudomonadota; Alphaproteobacteria; Rhodobacterales; Paracoccaceae
Description: tRNA-Leu
Rfam family: tRNA
About the family: Transfer RNA (tRNA) molecules are approximately 80 nucleotides in length.
Source: RNAcentral
CCCCGCGUGGCGGAACGGUAGACGCAUGGGUCUUAAACACCCUGUCCGAAAGGAGUGCCGGUUCAAGUCCGGCCGCGGGGACCA